GAUCAAGCGUCUAAGGGCAUCUGGUGGAUGCCUUGGCACCAAGAAGCGAUGAAGGACGUGGCACGCUGCGUAAAGCCGCGGGGAGGGGCGAGCACCCUUUGAUCCGCGGAUGUCCGAAUGGGGAAACCCGGCCCUUUGGGUCAUCCCAUGCUGAAUCCAUAGGCAUGGGAAGCAAACCCGGCGAACUGAAACAUCUCAGUAGCUGGAGGAAAGGAAAUCAACCGAGACUCCGCUAGUAGUGGCGAGCGAACGCGGACCAGGCCAGUGGCCUAAUUGAGCGAACCGGAACCGUCUGGAAAGUCGGGCCGUAGCGGGUGAUAGCCCCGUACGGGUAAGAGCUCUUUUAGGUCCUCGAGUAGGGCGGGACACGUGCAAUCCUGUCUGAACAUGGGGGGACCACCCUCCAAGCCUAAGUAUUCCUUGGUGACCGAUAGUGUACCAGUACCGUGAGGGAAAGGUGAAAAGCACCCCGAUGAGGGGAGUGAAAGAGACCUGAAACCGGAUGCCUACAAGCAGUGGGAGCACCUAUAAGGUGUGACCGCGUACCUUUUGUAUAAUGGGUCAGCGAGUUAGUCUGUGCAGCAAGCUUAAGCCGUUAGGUGUAGGCGUAGCGAAAGCGAGUCUGAAUAGGGCGCCUGAGUUGCACGGAUUAGACCCGAAACCGAGUGAUCUAGCCAUGGGCAGGCUGAAGGUGCGGUAACACGCUCUGGAGGGCCGAACCCACGUCUGUUGAAAAAGACGGGGAUGACCUGUGGUUAGGGGUGAAAGGCCAAUCAAACUCGGAAAUAGCUGGUUCUCCGCGAAAGCUAUUUAGGUAGCGCGUCGUAGCGAUUACCGCCGGGGGUAGAGCACUGGAUGGGCUAGGGGGGCGCGAGCCUUACCAAACCUAACCAAACUCCGAAUACCGGUGAGUACAGCACGGCAGACAGACGGCGGGUGCUAACGUCCGUCGUCAAGAGGGAAACAACCCAGACCACCAUCUAAGGUCCCCAAGUCGUGGCUAAGUGGGAAAGGAUGUGGGAAGGCCAAGACAGCCAGGAGGUUGGCUUAGAAGCAGCCAUCCUUUAAAGAAAGCGUAAUAGCUCACUGGUCUAGAUAAGCCGUCCUGCGCCGAAAAUGUAACGGGGCUAAAGCCAUGCACCGAAGAUGUGGGAUAUCCUUUGGAUAUCGGUAGCGGAGCGUUCCGUAGGCCUGCGAAGGGAGAGGGGUGACCCCUCCUGGAGGUAUCGGAAGUGAGAAUGCUGACAUGAGUAGCGACAAAGAGUGUGAGAAACACUCUCGCCGAAAGCCCAAGGGUUCCUGCGCAAGGUUAAUCCGCGCAGGGUGAGCCGGCUCCUAAGACGAGGGCGACAGCCGUAGUCGAUGGGAAUGGGGUUAAUAUUCCCCAGCCUGCCAGAGGUGACGAAGGCCGAUAGUUGUAUCUCCUUAUCGGAUUGGGGGUGCAGCGUAGGACUUCCAGGAAAUAGCCCUGGCAUAUAGACCGUACCCGAAACCGACACAGGUGGGCAGGUAGAGUAUACCAAGGCGCUUGAGAGAAUGAUGUUGAAGGAACUCGGCAAAUUACCCUCGUAACUUCGGGAUAAGAGGGACCUCCCAUUGGGCAACCAGUAGGUGGUGGCACAGACCAGGGGGUGGCGACUGUUUACUAAAAACACAGGGCUCUGCGAAGCCGCAAGGCGACGUAUAGGGUCUGACGCCUGCCCGGUGCCGGAAGGUUAAAAGGAGGGGUGCAAGCUCCGAAUUGAAGCCCCGGUAAACGGCGGCCGUAACUAUAACGGUCCUAAGGUAGCGAGAUUCCUUGUCGGGUAAGUUCCGACCUGCACGAAUGGCGUAACGACUUCCCCGCUGUCUCCAACAUCAACUCAGCGAAAUUGAACUCUCCGUGAAGAUGCGGAGUUCCCGCGGUCAGACGGAAAGACCCCGUGCACCUUUACUACAGCUUUGCAGUGGUAUCAGGAGUUGGAUGUGUAGGAUAGGCGGGAGCCUUUGAAGCGCAGGCGCUAGCUUGCGUGGAGGCACCCUUGAAAUACCGCCCUUCUGUCUUCUGAUAUCUAACCGCGGCCCGUUAUCCGGGUCCGGGACCCUGCAUGGCGGGUAGUUUGACUGGGGCGGUCGCCUCCCAAAGAGUAACGGAGGCGCGCGAUGGUGGGCUCAGGCUGGUCGGACAUCAGCUGUCGAGUGCAAUGGCAUAAGCCCGCCUGACUGUGAGGCAGACAUGCCGAACAGAGACGAAAGUCGGUCAUAGUGAUCCGGUGGUCCCGCGUGGAUGGGCCAUCGCUCAACGGAUAAAAGGUACGCCGGGGAUAACAGGCUGAUAACCCCCAAGAGUCCAUAUCGACGGGGUUGUUUGGCACCUCGAUGUCGGCUCAUCACAUCCUGGGGCUGGAGCAGGUCCCAAGGGUUCGGCUGUUCGCCGAUUAAAGUGGUACGUGAGCUGGGUUUAGAACGUCGUGAGACAGUUCGGUCCCUAUCUGCCGUGGGUGUUCGAGACUUGAGAGGAUCUGUCCCUAGUACGAGAGGACCGGGAUGGACGUACCUCUGGUGUACCUGUUGUCGCGCCAGCGGCACCGCAGGGUAGCUAUGUACGGACGGGAUAACCGCUGAAAGCAUCUAAGCGGGAAACCCCCCUCAAAACCAGGUCUCGCUUGAGAGCCGUGAUAGACCAUCACGUCGAUAGGCCAGGGGUGUAAGCGUGGUAACACGUUCAGCUGACUGGUACUAAUCGCUCGAUCGGCUUGAUCAG
Ribosomal RNA from Oceanibaculum indicum P24, 2743 nucleotides. It matches the Rfam family "Bacterial large subunit ribosomal RNA". NCBI's taxonomy places the organism in Bacteria, Pseudomonadati, Pseudomonadota, Alphaproteobacteria, Rhodospirillales, Oceanibaculaceae. The record is from Rfam.